This 2869-nucleotide ribosomal RNA is filed under the name Vibrio parahaemolyticus VPCR-2010. RNAcentral's name for it is "bacterial LSU rRNA". It matches the Rfam family "Bacterial large subunit ribosomal RNA". The record is from RNAcentral. Lineage: Bacteria; Pseudomonadati; Pseudomonadota; Gammaproteobacteria; Vibrionales; Vibrionaceae.
UUAAGUGACUAAGCGUACACGGUGGAUGCCUUGGCAGUCAGAGGCGAUGAAAGACGUAGUAACUUGCGAUAAGCCCAGAUUAGGUAGUAACAACCAUUUGAGUCUGGGAUUUCUGAAUGGGGAAACCCACUUACAUAAGUAAGUAUCAUUAAUUGAAUACAUAGGUUAAUGAGGCGAACCGGGGGAACUGAAACAUCUAAGUACCCCGAGGAAAAGAAAUCAACCGAGAUUCCGAAAGUAGCGGCGAGCGAAAUUGGACUAGCCCUUAAGCUUUACACGCGUUAGACGAACGGUCUGGAAAGUCCGACGAUACAGGGUGAUAGUCCCGUAGUUGACGACGUGUGUUCAGUGAAAUCGAGUAGGGCGGGACACGUGAUAUCCUGUCUGAAUAUGGGGGGACCAUCCUCCAAGGCUAAAUACUACUGACUGACCGAUAGUGAACCAGUACCGUGAGGGAAAGGCGAAAAGAACCCCUGUGAGGGGAGUGAAAUAGAACCUGAAACCGUGUACGUACAAGCAGUAGGAGCAGGCUUUGUCCUGUGACUGCGUACCUUUUGUAUAAUGGGUCAGCGACUUAUAUUCAGUGGCAAGGUUAACCAUCUAGGGGAGCCGUAGGGAAACCGAGUCUUAACUGGGCGUUCAGUCUCUGGAUAUAGACCCGAAACCAGGUGAUCUAGCCAUGGGCAGGUUGAAGGUUGAGUAACAUCAACUGGAGGACCGAACCGACUAAUGUUGAAAAAUUAGCGGAUGACUUGUGGCUAGGGGUGAAAGGCCAAUCAAACCUGGAGAUAGCUGGUUCUCCCCGAAAGCUAUUUAGGUAGCGCCUCGGACGAAUACUACUGGGGGUAGAGCACUGUUAAGGCUAGGGGGUCAUCCCGACUUACCAACCCUUUGCAAACUCCGAAUACCAGUAAGUACUAUCCGGGAGACACACGGCGGGUGCUAACGUCCGUCGUGGAGAGGGAAACAACCCAGACCGCCAGCUAAGGUCCCAAAUUACUACUAAGUGGGAAACGAUGUGGGAAGGCUCAGACAGCCAGGAUGUUGGCUUAGAAGCAGCCAUCAUUUAAAGAAAGCGUAAUAGCUCACUGGUCGAGUCGGCCUGCGCGGAAGAUGUAACGGGGCUAAGUAGUAAACCGAAGCUGCGGCAAUGUGCUUUUGCACAUUGGGUAGGGGAGCGUUCUGUAAGCGGUUGAAGGUGUGUGGUAACGCAUGCUGGACGUAUCAGAAGUGCGAAUGCUGACAUGAGUAACGAUAAAGGGGGUGAAAAACCUCCUCGCCGGAAGACCAAGGGUUCCUGUCCAACGUUAAUCGGGGCAGGGUAAGUCGACCCCUAAGGCGAGGCCGAAAGGCGUAGUCGAUGGGAAACGGGUUAAUAUUCCCGUACUUCUUACAAUUGCGAUGGGGGGACGGAGAAGGCUAGGUGGGCCUGGCGACGGUUGUCCAGGUUCAAGUGCGUAGGCUUAAGAGUUAGGUAAAUCCGGCUCUUUUUAAGGCUGAGACACGACGUCGAGCACCUACGGGUGUGAAGUCAUUGAUGCCAUGCUUCCAGGAAAAGCCUCUAAGCUUCAGAUUGUAAGGAAUCGUACCCCAAACCGACACAGGUGGUCGGGUAGAGAAUACCAAGGCGCUUGAGAGAACUCGGGUGAAGGAACUAGGCAAAAUGGUACCGUAACUUCGGGAGAAGGUACGCUCUCGACGGUGAAGUCCCUCGCGGAUGGAGCUAUUGAGAGUCGCAGAUACCAGGUGGCUGCAACUGUUUAUUAAAAACACAGCACUGUGCAAAAUCGUAAGAUGACGUAUACGGUGUGACGCCUGCCCGGUGCCGGAAGGUUAAUUGAUGGGGUUAGACUUCGGUCGAAGCUCUUGAUCGAAGCCCCGGUAAACGGCGGCCGUAACUAUAACGGUCCUAAGGUAGCGAAAUUCCUUGUCGGGUAAGUUCCGACCUGCACGAAUGGCGUAAUGAUGGCCACGCUGUCUCCACCCGAGACUCAGUGAAAUUGAAAUCGCUGUGAAGAUGCAGUGUACCCGCGGCUAGACGGAAAGACCCCGUGAACCUUUACUACAGCUUGGCACUGAACAUUGACCCUACAUGUGUAGGAUAGGUGGGAGGCUUUGAAGCACGUACGCCAGUAUGUGUGGAGCCGUCCUUGAAAUACCACCCUUGUAGUGUUGAUGUUCUAACGUUGACCCCUUAUCGGGGUUGCGGACAGUGCCUGGUGGGUAGUUUGACUGGGGCGGUCUCCUCCCAAAGAGUAACGGAGGAGCACGAAGGUGGGCUAAUCACGGUUGGACAUCGUGAGGUUAGUGCAAUGGCAUAAGCCCGCUUGACUGCGAGAAUGACAAUUCGAGCAGGUGCGAAAGCAGGUCAUAGUGAUCCGGUGGUUCUGAAUGGAAGGGCCAUCGCUCAACGGAUAAAAGGUACUCCGGGGAUAACAGGCUGAUACCGCCCAAGAGUUCAUAUCGACGGCGGUGUUUGGCACCUCGAUGUCGGCUCAUCACAUCCUGGGCUGAAGUCGGUCCCAAGGGUAUGGCUGUUCGCCAUUUAAAGUGGUACGCGAGCUGGGUUUAGAACGUCGUGAGACAGUUCGGUCCCUAUCUGCCGUGGGCGUUGGAAGAUUGAAGGGGGCUGCUCCUAGUACGAGAGGACCGGAGUGGACGAACCUCUGGUGUUCGGGUUGUGUCGCCAGACGCAUUGCCCGGUAGCUAAGUUCGGAAUCGAUAACCGCUGAAAGCAUCUAAGCGGGAAGCGAGCCCUGAGAUGAGUCUUCCCUGAUACUUUAAGUAUCCUAAAGGGUUGUCGGAGACUACGACGUUGAUAGGUCAGGUGUGUAAGUGCUGUGAGGCAUCUGAGGCUAACUGAGUACUA